This 497-nucleotide ribosomal RNA is filed under the name uncultured bacterium. Its description in RNAcentral is "partial 16S ribosomal RNA". It matches the Rfam family "Bacterial small subunit ribosomal RNA", at positions 28 to 507 of the family's 1533-position model. The record is from RNAcentral.
GAUGAACGCUGGCGGCGUGCCUAAUACAUGCAAGUCGAGCGAACAGACGAGGAGCUUGCUCCUCUGACGUUAGCGGCGGACGGGUGAGUAACACGUGGAUAACCUGCCUAUAAGACUGGGAUAACUUCGGGAAACCGGAGCUAAUACCGGAUAAUAUAUUGAACCGCAUGGUUCAAUAGUAAAAGACGGUUUUGCUGUCACUUAUAGAUGGAUCCGCGCCGCAUUAGCUAGUUGGUAAGGUAACGGCUUACCAAGGCAACGAUGCGUAACCGACCUGAGAGGAUGAUCGGCCACACUGGAACUGAGACACGGUCCAGACUCCUACGGGAGGCAGCAGUAGGGAAUCUUCCGCAAUGGGCGAAAGCCUGACGGAGCAACACCGCGUGAGUGAUGAAGGUCUUCGGAUCGUAAAACUCUGUUAUUAGGGAAGAACAAAUGUGUAAGUAACUAUGCACGUCUUGACGGUACCUAAUCAGAAAGCCACGGCUAACUACGUG